Molecule: ribosomal RNA, 253 nt
Filed under: uncultured bacterium
Lineage: Bacteria
Description: partial 16S ribosomal RNA
Rfam family: Bacterial small subunit ribosomal RNA
Source: RNAcentral
UACGUAGGGGGCAAGCGUUAUCCGGAAUUACUGGGUGUAAAGGGAGAGUAGGCGGCAAGGUAAGCGAUAUGUGAAAGCCUUAGGCUUAACCUGAGGAUUGCAUAACGAACUAUCUAGCUAGAGUACAGGAGAGGAAAGCGGUAUUCCUAGUGUAGCGGUGAAAUGCGUAGAUAUUAGGAAGAACACCAGUGGCGAAGGCGGCUUUCUGGACUGAAACUGACGCUGAGGCUCGAAAGCGUGGGGAGCGAACAGG